This 301-nucleotide ribosomal RNA is filed under the name uncultured bacterium. RNAcentral describes it as "partial 16S ribosomal RNA". It matches the Rfam family "Bacterial small subunit ribosomal RNA", at positions 509 to 807 of the family's 1533-position model. The record is from RNAcentral.
CAGUAGCCACGGGAAAACGGAGGGUGCAAGCGUUAAUCGGAAUUACUGGGCGUAAAGCGUGCGUAGGCGGUUCAUUAAGUCUGUUGUGAAAGCCCCGGGCUCAACCUGGGAAUGGCAAUGGAUACUGGCGAGCUAGAGUGUGUCAGAGGAUGGUGGAAUUCCCGGUGUAGCGGUGAAAUGCGUAGAGAUCGGGAGGAACAUCAGCGGCGAAGGCGGCCAUCUGGGACAACACUGACGCUGAGGCACGAAAGCGUGGGGAGCAAACAGGAUUAGAUACCCCAGUAGUCCCUGUCUCUUAUAC